UGCCGAAGUCUUCCACAAAAUGCACCGGGCUAGAUGAGACUCACGUGCGGAUCGCCAUACAGCGGUGGGCUGUAGCGUUCUGCUCGGAGAGGCAGAACGGGGAGAGAGGCUGGACGCGGAGGGGGGAAAAACCGCAAAACGGAUAGCCUACCUCAAAGGGGAAGGAUGUGAAUAUAAUGGAGGGACGAAGGGAGAGAGGGGGGAAAGGCUCGUGAAAAACAGUAAGUACAUUUAUUAUCUUGGAUUUGCAGUGCACCGGGCAUGUUGUUAUCUGGCGGAUGUGUUUGGAUUAAUUGCGACGCGGCCGGUGAGCGUGUGUUACACGGCGUCAUUGAGACGGGCAUCGGGCUUUCGGGUGUCGGCAUCUGUAAAGCUGCUUGUGAUAGAAAGAUGGAUGGCCGGAGAUGGAUAGGUGGAAUCAGUGCUUUGACCCCUCUGUCAUUGCUGCGUGUGACUCAGAACAGUCUUUAACCCUCAAUGUAUAGGGUCCUUGUACCCAAACCCGCCGUCAUGUACGUUUGUUAGAGUAAAUAUUCUAAUAAGUCACUCUUUUACCUCGCUCUCUCUCAGUCACAUACGCACUCUCUCUCUGUUCCUCUCUCUCUGUUUCUCUAUCUGUUUCUCUCUCUCUCUCUCUCUCUCUCUCUCUCUCUCUCUCUCUCUCUCUCUCUCUCUCUCUCUCUCUCUCUCUCUCUCUCUCUCUCUCUCUUCUUUUCUCUCUAUCCAUCUCACACACACACACACACACACACACACACACACACACACACACACACACACACACACACACACACACACACACACACACACACACACACACACACACACACACACACACACACACACACACACACACACACAACAC
This is a long non-coding RNA of Gadus macrocephalus (Pacific cod), 865 nucleotides long. RefSeq lists it as uncharacterized. The transcript has 2 exons. NCBI's taxonomy places the organism in Eukaryota, Metazoa, Chordata, Actinopteri, Gadiformes, Gadidae. The record is from RefSeq and is a predicted model, not a curated record.